RNAcentral lists this ribosomal RNA (450 nucleotides) under uncultured bacterium. RNAcentral describes it as "bacterial SSU rRNA". It matches the Rfam family "Bacterial small subunit ribosomal RNA", at positions 354 to 796 of the family's 1533-position model. The record is from RNAcentral.
GUGGGGAAUUUUGGACAAUGGGCGCAAGCCUGAUCCAGCCAUGCCGCGUGUGGGAAGAAGGCCUUCGGGUUGUAAACCACUUUUGUCAGGGAAGAAACGGUCCUUACUAAUAUUAGGGACUAAUGACGGUACCUGAAGAAUAAGCACCGGCUAACUACGUGCCAGCAGCCGCGGUAAUACGUAGGGUGCAAGCGUUAAUCGGAAUUACUGGGCGUAAAGCGUGCGCAGGCGGCUAUGCAAGACAGAUGUGAAAUCCCCGGGCUCAACCUGGGAACUGCAUUUGUGACUGCAUGGCUAGAGUACGGUAGAGGGGGAUGGAAUUCCGCGUGUAGCAGUGAAAUGCGUAGAUAUGCGGAGGAACACCGAUGGCGAAGGCAAUCCCCUGGACCUGUACUGACGCUCAUGCACGAAAGCGUGGGGAGCAAACAGGAUUAGAAACCCUGGUAGUCC